Long non-coding RNA from Venturia canescens, 324 nucleotides. RefSeq lists it as uncharacterized. NCBI's taxonomy places the organism in Eukaryota, Metazoa, Arthropoda, Insecta, Hymenoptera, Ichneumonidae. The record is from RefSeq and is a predicted model, not a curated record. The transcript has 3 exons.
AGAUCAUUACCACUUACGAGCCCCGAGCAAAUAAAUGAUUUCGAGGCCAUACCGGACGACGAGUACAAGAAUGUGGUCAGAUACUUGGGGUCGCUCGGUGGCCACACAUUAGUUGAAACGGCUAACGAGAUUUUGAAGAACGCCAUGGAAGAUUCGGUAUCGCCGGCUUUGACCUGGCUCGGCCGAAAACCAAAUGAGAUAGCUCUUGGCAAAACAAGAUUUGCCAAAGCCCUUUAUGCGGCAGUUGCGAGGAAUAGAAAUUAUCCGAAACCAGAUUGGUCCCAAUUCACCGACGCAAUGACUAACGCGCUCAGGAGUUCGAAG